This 239-nucleotide RNase P RNA is filed under the name Syntrophomonadaceae bacterium. RNAcentral describes it as "partial RNase P RNA component class A". It matches the Rfam family "Bacterial RNase P class A", at positions 1 to 242 of the family's 367-position model. Rfam says of the family: Ribonuclease P (RNase P) is a ubiquitous endoribonuclease, found in archaea, bacteria and eukarya as well as chloroplasts and mitochondria. Its best characterised activity is the generation of mature 5'-ends of tRNAs by cleaving the 5'-leader elements of precursor-tRNAs. Lineage: Bacteria; Bacillati; Bacillota; Clostridia; Eubacteriales; Syntrophomonadaceae. The record is from RNAcentral.
UGAGUAAACUGGAUGAUUACGGGCACAAAAGCCGAAAGGCUGUGUUCGAGGAAAGUCGGAGCUCCACAGGGCAGGGUGCUGGGUAACGCCCAGUGAGGGUGACCUUAAGGCAAGUGCCACAGAAACAAACCGCCGGUUUACACCGGUAAGGGUGGAAAGGUGAGGUAAGAGCUCACCAGCAGUCAGGCGACUGGCUGGCUCGGUAAACCCCACCCGGAGCAAGACCGAAUAGAGAAGCG